GGCCCGUUGGUCAAGUGGUUAAGACAUCGCCCUUUCACGGCGGUAUCACGGGUUCGAAUCCCGUACGGGUCA
RNAcentral lists this transfer RNA (72 nucleotides) under Salinibacillus kushneri. Its description in RNAcentral is "tRNA_Glu_TTC". It matches the Rfam family "tRNA". From Rfam's summary of the family: Transfer RNA (tRNA) molecules are approximately 80 nucleotides in length. Their secondary structure includes four short double-helical elements and three loops (D, anti-codon, and T loops). Further hydrogen bonds mediate the characteristic L-shaped molecular structure. tRNAs have two regions of fundamental functional importance: the anti-codon, which is responsible for specific mRNA codon recognition, and the 3' end, to which the tRNAs corresponding amino acid is attached (by aminoacyl-tRNA synthetases). tRNAs cope with the degeneracy of the genetic code in two manners: having more than one tRNA (with a specific anti-codon) for a particular amino acid; and 'wobble' base-pairing, i.e. permitting non-standard base-pairing at the 3rd anti-codon position. The record is from RNAcentral. RNAcentral also lists the same sequence under 7 other names. Lineage: Bacteria; Bacillati; Bacillota; Bacilli; Caryophanales; Bacillaceae.